UAGCUUUGUCCUAAGUCAAACUUCUUAAAGUUUGACUAAGUUUAUAGAAAAAUGUAUCAACAUUUAGAAUAUCAAAUAACUAUAGUAUGAAAAAAUAUAUUACGAUGGAUCUAAUAAAACUAAUUUGGAGUUGUAGAUGUUGGUAGAUUUUUCUAUAAACUUGGUCAAAGAUUAAGAAGUUUGACUUGGGACAAAGCUAG
Molecule: microRNA precursor, 200 nt
Filed under: Brachypodium distachyon (stiff brome)
Lineage: Eukaryota; Viridiplantae; Streptophyta; Magnoliopsida; Poales; Poaceae
Description: MIR1435 microRNA precursor family
Rfam family: MIR1435 microRNA precursor family
Source: Rfam by way of RNAcentral